This 255-nucleotide ribosomal RNA is filed under the name uncultured bacterium. RNAcentral's name for it is "partial 16S ribosomal RNA". It matches the Rfam family "Bacterial small subunit ribosomal RNA", at positions 524 to 777 of the family's 1533-position model. The record is from RNAcentral.
UACGAAGGGGGCUAGCGUUGUUCGGAUUUACUGGGCGUAAAGCGCACGUAGGCGGAUCGUUAAGUCGGGGGUGAAAUCCUGGAGCUCAACUCCAGAACUGCCUUUGAUACUGAAGAUCUUGAGUCCGGGAGAGGUGAGUGGAACUGCGAGUGUAGAGGUGAAAAUUCGUAGAUAUUCGGAAGAACACCAGUGGCGAAGGCGACUUACUGGACACAUAUUGACGCUGAGGUGCGAAAGCGUGGGGAGCAAACAGGG